GACGAACGCUGGCGGCGUGCUUAACACAUGCAAGUCGAACGGAAAGGCCCUGCUUUUUUGGGCUGCUCUAGUUGCGAACGGGUGAGUAACACUUGAGUAACCUGCCCUUCACUGUGGGAUAACUUCAUGCAACUUGGUCUAAUACCGGAUAGGAGCUCCUGCCGCUUGGUGGGGGUUGGAUGGUUUCGCCGGUUGGUGGUGGACUCGCGUCUUAUCAGCUUGUUGGUGGGGUAGUGGCUUAGCAUGGCUUUGACGGGUAGCCGGCCUGAGAGGGUGAGCGGCCCAGUUGGGACUGAGAUGAGGCCCAGACUCCAACGGGAGGCAGCGGUGGGGAGUAGUGCACAAGGGGAGGAGGGAUAGUGUAGCAAAGCCGCGUGGGGGAUGAGGGCAUUCCGGUUGUAAACCGCUUCCGCCUGUGACGAAGCGUGAGUGACGGUAAUGGGUAAAGAAGCACCGGCUAACUCCGUG
This 468-nucleotide ribosomal RNA is filed under the name uncultured bacterium. Its description in RNAcentral is "partial 16S ribosomal RNA". It matches the Rfam family "Bacterial small subunit ribosomal RNA", at positions 28 to 507 of the family's 1533-position model. The record is from RNAcentral.